CUCAGGAUUAACGCUGGCGGCAUGCCUAAUACAUGCAAGUCGAAUGGGGAGCUUGCUUCCCAUGGCGAACGGGUGAGUAAUACGUAGGUAACCUACCUUUAGGACGAGGAUAACCUUUGGAAACGAAGGAUAAUACUGGAUAGUAUAGAUUUCCGCAUGGAGAUAUAUUUAAAGAUUUAUCACCUAGAGAGGGGCCUGCGGUGCAUUAGCUAGUUGGCGGGAUAAAAGCCCACCAAGGCGAUGAUGCAUAGCCGGACUGAGGGGUUGUACGGCCGCAAUGGAACUGAGAACGGUCCAUACUCCUACGGGAGGCAGCAGUAGGGAAUUUUCGGCAAUGGGCGGAAGCCUGACCGAGACCAAUGCCGCGUGAAUGAUGAAGUAUUUCGGUAUGUAAAGUUCUUUUAUCUAGGAAGAAAAAACAAAUUGACGGUACUAGAUGAAUAAGCUCCGGCUAACUACGUGCCAGCCGCCGC
This 473-nucleotide ribosomal RNA is filed under the name uncultured bacterium. Its description in RNAcentral is "bacterial SSU rRNA". It matches the Rfam family "Bacterial small subunit ribosomal RNA", at positions 23 to 518 of the family's 1533-position model. The record is from RNAcentral.